UACUCUUUUACUUUACGAGUAACGGGUAUAAUAAUGGUGACAUUGGAGGCUAUGCGUUCUAAUAUGUUGGAGCCAAAAGGGGAGCUCCCUGUAAGUUCUGAAGAACAGCUCUCCGCAUAGGACGAAAAAGUCAAGGAGUCUCCCGAAAAAUACAUUACUUUAUUUAGAAAGCUUUUGAUUCCAUUAGGACUUGUGAAAAAAUUGGAGCGCAUUAUAAGUCGCGAUUUUAUUUGUAAAAUGAAUUACACUGAAUCUUGUGGGCAGAUUGGUUUGGUUAACUAUGCCAAUGUAAAUAAUGCACUAUUUGAAGCCACCAGGUCUGACGGCUCUAGUUUCAAGGACCACUUUAAAAAUGUCCGUGAUGCCGCCAGGACUAAAAAAAUAACCAAGAAGGACUAAAAUAAUUUUUAGUUGCCAA
Drosophila subpulchrella is the source of this 418-nucleotide long non-coding RNA. RefSeq lists it as uncharacterized. The transcript has 3 exons. The record is from RefSeq and is a predicted model, not a curated record. Lineage: Eukaryota; Metazoa; Arthropoda; Insecta; Diptera; Drosophilidae.